GACAGAGGGGGCAAGCGUUGCUCGGAAUCACUGGGCGUAAAGGGCGCGUAGGCGGGAUGGCAAGUCGGUCGUGAAAUCCUUCGGCUCAACCGAAGAACGUCGGCCGAUACUGCCGUUCUUGAGGGAUGCAGAGGCGAUUGGAAUUCCCGGUGUAGCGGUGAAAUGUGUAGAGGUCGGGAGGAACACCGGUGGCGAAGGCGGGUCUCUGGGCAUCUCCUGACGCUGAGGCGCGAAAGCGUGGGGAGCAAACGGG
This 253-nucleotide ribosomal RNA is filed under the name uncultured bacterium. RNAcentral describes it as "partial 16S ribosomal RNA". It matches the Rfam family "Bacterial small subunit ribosomal RNA", at positions 524 to 776 of the family's 1533-position model. The record is from RNAcentral.